Parelaphostrongylus tenuis is the source of this 71-nucleotide non-coding RNA. NCBI's taxonomy places the organism in Eukaryota, Metazoa, Nematoda, Chromadorea, Rhabditida, Metastrongylidae. The record is from the annotation of a GenBank genome assembly.
AUCUUCGUGGUGCAGUGGUAGCACACGUCCCUGGUAUGGAGGAAACGUGGGUUCUAUUCCUGCCUUAGGUU